Molecule: non-coding RNA, 72 nt
Organism: Cucurbita maxima (winter squash)
Lineage: Eukaryota; Viridiplantae; Streptophyta; Magnoliopsida; Cucurbitales; Cucurbitaceae
Source: the annotation of a RefSeq genome assembly
GGAUCUGUGGCGCAAUGGUAGUGCAUUUGACUUCUGAUCAAAAGGUUGCGUGUUCAAUUCACGUCGGGUUCA